UGGGGAAUCUUCCGCAAUGGACGAAAGUCUGACGGAGCAACGCCGCGUGAGUGAUGAAGGAUUUCGGUCUGUAAAGCUCUGUUGUUUAUGACGAACGUGCAGUGUGUGAACAAUGCAUUGCAAUGACGGUAGUAAACGAGGAAGCCACGGCUAACUACGUGCCAGCAGCCGCGGUAAUACGUAGGUGGCGAGCGUUGUCCGGAAUUAUUGGGCGUAAAGAGCAUGUAGGCGGCUUAAUAAGUCGAGCGUGAAAAUGCGGGGCUCAACCCCGUAUGGCGCUGGAAACUGUUAGGCUUGAGUGCAGGAGAGGAAAGGGGAAUUCCCAGUGUAGCGGUGAAAUGCGUAGAUAUUGGGAGGAACACCAGUGGCGAAGGCGCCUUUCUGGACUGUGUCUGACGCUGAGAUGCGAAAGCCAGGGUAGCGAACGGG
RNAcentral lists this ribosomal RNA (429 nucleotides) under Acidobacteriota bacterium. RNAcentral describes it as "Acidobacteria bacterium partial 16S ribosomal RNA". It matches the Rfam family "Bacterial small subunit ribosomal RNA", at positions 355 to 776 of the family's 1533-position model. The record is from RNAcentral. RNAcentral also lists the same sequence under 2 other names. Lineage: Bacteria; Pseudomonadati; Acidobacteriota.